CAAUUAUAGUAAACAAGGUCACCCCGUGGCAGGGAGAAAUUAUGAGGAGGACUCCAUAUUAUCAGAAGGCUAAUUAAUUACUUUAUUGUUCUAUAUUAUUCUAUAUUAUAUUACACUAUAUUACAUUACAUCUAAACUGAGUCUGCACAAAGCACCCGACUCAACUGCACAGAAUCUUGUGACUGUCUGCUGACAGACAGUUUGGACACGUGCUUGGCCCUGACAGGCCAAGGAAACAAAACACCAUCACUCUGGGUAAACAAUCUCCAUAUUGCAUUCCACUUUGGCACAACACAGGAGCAGCGAAUGAGGCAAACUGUGGGCAAAGUUCCUCUUCCCUGCAGUCACAAAGGGAGCUGGCAUCAGGCUUGGGAGAGCUGUGGUUUGGUGGCAUCUCAGAAGCAAGCACCACUGAGUCCAGCAGAGGAGCUCAUUUAGCAAAGCCUGUCAGCUUGAACAGACUCACUGGCCUCAGCUGGUUUUAGGCUGCAUCUGAAUCACAUGAACAAAACAUUGCUUUCAAGUGAGGAAGAGGAAUUUGACUAAAGCCACUGUAAUAAUUAAUCCUGUGAUGGGCAAGUCAUGCAAAUUAGGUGAAAGUAGAGAGGCUGGGAACCCUCUGCCCAGGCCUGAGGCAGCUCACACACCUUUGUGCCACUCUGGGUUCCUGUUACACUGGAGAGAUGUGGGCCCUAACCCAUGGCGCACCCCUGCUCUGUGAUCCACCUCCUCCUCUGCAGUCCACCCCAGCCUGGAGGAAGCACAGCCAGAAUCAGCCACUUAAAACCUCACCUUUCAAAUAUUUCUCACAGGCAAAUCUAAUAAAAAUCAUAUUUUGUCACA
Long non-coding RNA from Melospiza melodia melodia, 843 nucleotides. RefSeq lists it as uncharacterized. The transcript is spliced from 2 exons. Lineage: Eukaryota; Metazoa; Chordata; Aves; Passeriformes; Passerellidae. The record is from RefSeq and is a predicted model, not a curated record.